Molecule: non-coding RNA, 306 nt
Filed under: Salinivibrio sp. KP-1
Lineage: Bacteria; Pseudomonadati; Pseudomonadota; Gammaproteobacteria; Vibrionales; Vibrionaceae
Source: RNAcentral
CGGAUGGAGCCGUUCUCUACAAGCAGGAAGCUUGUACGUCAGGAAGACUUAGGACAACCCAGGAUGGGGGCUUAAGGACUACUUCAGGACGAAGUCAUGGACACCUCCAGGAUGGAGAGCUUAUCGAAAACGGGAAUUUCGGUUUGUCAGGAUGACGAAAGGACACCUCCAAGACGGAGAGACAUGGAACGACGCUGAAGGAUUCGGCGACUGAUCAAGGAAUGAUGCAGGGAGCACCUUUUAGUAGCAGGAUGGCUGCAAGUAAAACUCUAGGGCGCGGCGCAAGCUGCGCCCUUUCCUUUUUUC